This 230-nucleotide long non-coding RNA is filed under the name Panax ginseng (ginseng). RNAcentral's name for it is "long non-coding RNA (PGIN_LNC005750)". Lineage: Eukaryota; Viridiplantae; Streptophyta; Magnoliopsida; Apiales; Araliaceae. The record is from RNAcentral.
UAAUAUUGCAAUUGCGUAAGUCUUUUUGAUGAAGCUUUACCUUGAUUGACAUCCCACUGCUUAAAAUCUGGUUCCCAUCCAAGCUCACCAUACGGAAACAACAAUACGUAAUGUAGUGGUAAAUAAGCUGGAUGACAUUCAUUUAUCUGCAUCAACUGGUCACUCCCUCUUAACCGUACAAUAAUAUCCCUCAUCGCAGAGAAUUCAGCACCAUCUCCAGGUAAUAUGAC